AUCUUGUCACAGCCUGCCUCAAGAUGAUGUGCCUUGCUCUCUGUGGCCAAAGAGCUGCUGCCACACGUUUUCAGACAAUCAUGAUACAGGCGGACCCAAUUGGAUGCAGGUGGAUUCAGUUGGAUACAGGUGGAUCCAAUUUGUCCUUCAAUCCAAGCACCAUCACCAUUGGCCAAUCAAGAAACCACCCUUUGCCUGUCCCAGGAUGAUGCCUGGUAAAGUUGUGCCUUGCUCUCUGUGGCCAAAGAGCUGCUGCCACACAUUUUCAGAUAAGAAAAAUGGAAAGUAGCUGGGAAAAGUUAUUUUCAAAUUAGCUUUACUGUAAGAUUUUUCAUUUGUGGGUUGUACUAAAAGAUUUUCAUUCUUGAAAUUAGCAAUACUGCAGUUUCUGAAAUAUAACAAAUUAUAUUCUUUAUAAAUUUUUUAAAACUUAUUUGAAGCAGUUGAUUGUAAGUUCUGUUUUGAAGUUUUGGAUAAAAGAAUCAUAGUAUGUCAGAUAACUUGUCAAAAUCUUGUGCCAAAACCAUUUCAUUCGUUUUGGAGUUGUCAAAGUGAGGUUUUCAAGAGUUUUCACAGAUUUUAAGGGAUUUUUUUUUGCUUCCCUGAUAGAUAAUUCUGUUUGUACUGUUUUCUCAGUUGCCAUUCAUGAUUCCUUAUAUACUCAAAUAUGUUACUCAAAGAACCCAUAUGGGGAGGAAAUAAUUAUUAGAGAUCUUUUUUGCCCUAAUUUUCUUACAGGUAAUUAUUAUAAUAAUUAUAUUUCUUAAUACUCUUUAAAAAAUGAAAGGAAUGCUGGAUUUCUCUGUGUUAGAUGGACAUCAGAAGGUUUUUCUAGGUUGUGGAAGAUCUCCAUGUGUUAUACUGCAUUUGAACUACAGAGUGCUUGAGCCUUCUGUUUCUAUCUUGGAGGAAAAAUAUUUAAUGCAUUUGAUAUUCUGCUCUUAAACAGAGAUAUCAAUAUGAAAUAAAAAAUAGAUAUAUGCUAUACUG
This is a long non-coding RNA of Zonotrichia leucophrys gambelii, 990 nucleotides long. RefSeq lists it as uncharacterized. Lineage: Eukaryota; Metazoa; Chordata; Aves; Passeriformes; Passerellidae. The transcript is spliced from 3 exons. The record is from RefSeq and is a predicted model, not a curated record.